Molecule: ribosomal RNA, 591 nt
Filed under: uncultured bacterium
Lineage: Bacteria
Description: bacterial SSU rRNA
Rfam family: Bacterial small subunit ribosomal RNA
Source: RNAcentral
CCUACGGGAGGCAGCAGUGGGGAAUUUUGGACAAUGGGCGCAAGCCUGAUCCAGCCAUGCCGCGUGUGGGAAGAAGGCCUUCGGGUUGUAAACCACUUUUGUCAGGGAAGAAACGGCUUUUUCUAAUACAGAGAGCUAAUGACGGUACCUGAAGAAUAAGCACCGGCUAACUACGUGCCAGCAGCCGCGGUAAUACGUAGGGUGCAAGCGUUAAUCGGAAUUACUGGGCGUAAAGCGUGCGCAGGCGGCUUUGCAAGACAGAUGUGAAAUCCCCGGGCUCAACCUGGGAACUGCAUUUGUGACUGCAUGGCUAGAGUACGGUAGAGGGGGAUGGAAUUCCGCGUGUAGCAGUGAAAUGCGUAGAUAUGCGGAGGAACACCGAUGGCGAAGGCAAUCCCCUGGACCUGUACUGACGCUCAUGCACGAAAGCGUGGGGAGCAAACAGGAUUAGAUACCCUGGUAGUCCACGCCCUAAACGAUGUACAACUGGUUAGUUGGACGGCUUGCUGUUCAGUAACGAAGCUAACGCGUAGAAGUUGACCGCCGUGGGGAGUACGGCCGCGAGGUUAGAAACGUCGAAAGAAGUUGACG